Long non-coding RNA from Lutra lutra (Eurasian river otter), 947 nucleotides. RefSeq lists it as uncharacterized. The transcript has 2 exons. The record is from RefSeq and is a predicted model, not a curated record. NCBI's taxonomy places the organism in Eukaryota, Metazoa, Chordata, Mammalia, Carnivora, Mustelidae.
GGUGGAGGCGGAGGGAGGGCGCGCGCGGCCAGGCCGGGAGGUGCGGAAGUUCGCCGCCGCCGCUCAUUGGCGGGCCGCGCCGCUUUCAUCAUUUCUCGGAAAAGUCAAUUUCAUUUUCACUUCCCUACGUCGCGGCAGCAGGAGCAACAAGCGGCUGCUCGAAUAAAAGGAACAAUGAACUGACAAGACAGCAGUACUUCGAUAGUCAGGCAAGAACUGGGCCCGCCGAGGACCGGCGACCUUAACCUUAACUGAACCGUCGUCAGGAGUUGAGGGUGUAACCAUUUGGAGGGCUGCCGCCAUCUCUGGCACCACCUGGCGCUCUGUUUGGGAGCGAGGGCGAUGAAAAGGGGUGUCCCCCUGGUCGGUCUACAGCAGCACACGCGAGACCGAGUUAUCGCCGGUGCAACAGAAGUUCCUUUACUGCAGGAGGAGGUGCUCGAGGGUGUGAGUUAAUCUUACUUCCAGAUGGCUUAAUCGUGGCCGGUCCAGGAGAAAGGCUUCGUACUGUGAUAACGUUCGUUCAGCCAGAUUGAGAUUUGGCCCCUUUAAUUUAGUAGCUGGGCCUGCUCCGUCAAGUUGCUCGACCAAAGGCCUCGGUUUUCAAUGCUGUGAAACGGGGAUAAGUGAUAGAACCCAAGAAUACAACUACAGCACCUGUCCCUUCAGGGUGUGUGAGCUCACACCAGCACAAUUCAUUUGAGACCUACGGCUUUGGGGUCCUUUGCCUUAACAGUAUCAAUUCUCAUCUAAUUAUACCUCUUUCUUCCCUCAACUGCAGUUUAACCAGCCUUCUCCCAACUUCUCUCUGCCACCAAGGAAGACCCUUCCUGGGAGGCCGUAGCUAUUGCAUGUGAACACUUCUAAAAACAUAGCUCCAGCAUCCCUCUUUGCCACUGAAGUAUUGAAUUCUGUGGAUUGGAAGAAAUAAAAGUCUCUCCGUGUGC